RNAcentral lists this ribosomal RNA (253 nucleotides) under uncultured bacterium. RNAcentral's name for it is "partial 16S ribosomal RNA". It matches the Rfam family "Bacterial small subunit ribosomal RNA", at positions 524 to 776 of the family's 1533-position model. The record is from RNAcentral.
UACAGAGGUGGCAAGCGUUGUUCGGAAUUACUGGGCGUAAAGGGCGCGUAGGCGGUUCGUUAAGUCCUGUGUGAAAUCCCCCGGCUCAACUGGGGAACUGCACAGGAAACUAGCGGGCUUGAGUUCGGGAGAGGGAAGCGGAAUUCCGGGUGUAGCGGUGAAAUGCGUAGAUAUCCGGAGGAACACCGGUGGCGAAGGCGGCUUCCUGGACCAACACUGACGCUCAGGCACGAAAGCGUGGGGAGCAAACAGG